RNAcentral lists this long non-coding RNA (402 nucleotides) under Gallus gallus (chicken). The record is from RNAcentral. Lineage: Eukaryota; Metazoa; Chordata; Aves; Galliformes; Phasianidae.
GGGAGAUCCAGGCUGAGCUUUAGUUGUUUCUUUGUGGGGUGAGUCUUUAGAGUCUGAAACAUUACCUGAAAGAACAAAAACAAAAUACAAACAACGGCAAAUGCUAGGAAACUACCGAAGAAAUGUCAACGCCUAAAAACAGCUGCUCAUUUGCCACCAACAACAGCAGUCUACAAUUCUGAAGUACCAUAUGAAGCACAGACUACAUAGAUAAUCAGCACCACAAAAUAGUCUACACACACCAUCACUGCUCCUGAUUCUCCAAGAAGCCUGUGGGAUACCCACACCAACAAUUCAAAGCGCCUGAAAUGAAGUUAAACAUCACACUGCUGAAAGCAGAAGUUACAAGCUCAGAAAAUGACCACUUGGACCUCAAAAUAUGCAAGAAGCAAAAUGCCAGCG